Molecule: ribosomal RNA, 433 nt
Filed under: uncultured bacterium
Lineage: Bacteria
Description: partial 16S ribosomal RNA
Rfam family: Bacterial small subunit ribosomal RNA
Source: RNAcentral
AACGAACGCUGGCGGCAUGCCUAACACAUGCAAGUCGAACGAGACCUUCGGGUCUAGUGGCGCACGGGUGCGUAACGCGUGGGAACCUGCCCUUAGGUUCGGAAUAACUCCCCGAAAGGGGUGCUAAUACCGGAUAAUGUCUUCGGACCAAAGAUUUAUCGCCUUUGGAUGGGCCCGCGUUGGAUUAGCUAGUUGGUAGGGUAAAAGCCUACCAAGGCGACGAUCCAUAGCUGGUCUGAGAGGAUGAUCAGCCACACUGGGACUGAGACACGGCCCAGACUCCUACGCGAGGGAGCAGUGGGGAAUAUUGGACAGUGGGGUAAAGGAUGAUCCAGCAAGGCCGGGUGAAUGAUGUAGGCCUUAGAGUUGUAAAGCGCUAUUAACCAGGAUGAUAAUGACAGUACCGGGAGAAUAAGCUCCGGCUAACUCCGUG